UACGUAGGGUGCGAGCGUUAAUCGGAAUUACUGGGCGUAAAGCGUGCGCAGGCGGUUUUGCAAGCCGGAUGUGAAAUCCCCGGGCUUAACCUGGGAAUGGCAUUUGGGACUGCAAGGCUGGAGUGCGGCAGAGGAGACUGGAAUUCCUGGUGUAGCAGUGAAAUGUGUAGAUAUCAGGAGGAACACCGGUGGCGAAGGCGGAUCUCUGGGCCAUUACUGACGCUGAGGAGCGAAAGCGUGGGGAGCGAACAGG
RNAcentral lists this ribosomal RNA (253 nucleotides) under uncultured bacterium. RNAcentral describes it as "partial 16S ribosomal RNA". It matches the Rfam family "Bacterial small subunit ribosomal RNA", at positions 524 to 776 of the family's 1533-position model. The record is from RNAcentral.